This 304-nucleotide ribosomal RNA is filed under the name uncultured bacterium. RNAcentral's name for it is "partial 16S ribosomal RNA". It matches the Rfam family "Bacterial small subunit ribosomal RNA", at positions 506 to 808 of the family's 1533-position model. The record is from RNAcentral.
CAGCAGUGCCACGGUAAUACGAAGGGUGCAAGCGUUACUCGGAAUUACUGGGCGUAAAGCGUGCGUAGGUGGUGGUUUAAGUCCGUUGUGAAAGCCCUGGGCUCAACCUGGGAAUUGCAGUGGAUACUGGGUCACUAGAGUGUGGUAGAGGAUAGUGGAAUUUCCGGUGUAGCAGUGAAAUGCGUAGAGAUCGGAAGGAACAUCUGUGGCGAAGGCGACUAUCUGGGCCAACACUGACACUGAGGCACGAAAGCGUGGGGAGCAAACAGGAUUAGAUACCCCUGUAGUCCCUGUCUCUUAUACA